GAGAAGAGUAGCUGAACAAGAAAGCAUGAGUGAGAUCGUUUAGCAAAUCAAAGAACAAGUGAUGAACCUCGCUCGUCGACCUACUACUUCGGCUCCCGAUGACACCGAUGACACCGACGACGAGAGUGAUGAGGAUGAUUAUGUAGAUCUCACUCCCUAGUUUAGAUCUCUGGACAUUUAUGAACUUUUUGAAAUUUUAAAACGAAUUUUAAAAGACUUUAUAAGUCUUUAAUUUAUGAUUUAGAUACUUUUGAAUGUUAUUUU
This 264-nucleotide long non-coding RNA is filed under the name Solanum tuberosum (potato). RNAcentral describes it as "long non-coding RNA (STUB_LNC007153)". Lineage: Eukaryota; Viridiplantae; Streptophyta; Magnoliopsida; Solanales; Solanaceae. The record is from RNAcentral.